This 3899-nucleotide long non-coding RNA is filed under the name Sus scrofa (pig). RNAcentral's name for it is "lncRNA (ENSSSCG00000054086.1)". The record is from RNAcentral. Lineage: Eukaryota; Metazoa; Chordata; Mammalia; Artiodactyla; Suidae.
AUCCCUGGCCAUGCUCAAUGGGUUAAGGGUCUAACGUUGCCGUGAACUGUGAUGUAGGUCACAGACGCAGCUCAGCUCCUGUGUUGCUGUGGCAUAGCCAGCAGCUGCAGCUCUGAUUCAACCCCUAGCCUAGGAAUUUACAUAUGCCAUGGGUGUGGCUCUAAAAAGACAAAAAAAGAGAGAUGGUUUCCCUGAGACCAAUUUGGCCCUCAGACUCAAGUUUUGGUUCACACAUAAAUUAAUUUUCACCAGAAGAAUGUGUUAUUAACUGAAUACUUUCUUUAAAAGGUGAUAUGCAGAAAUGCAAGGGGAAAAAAAACCCCAAUUUCUAUAUGUCUUUUGUAGUUCUUUUGGGAAACAUGUUACAUGUGACUGUACAAUAAAUAUGUUUAAGUACAUUUUAAGUUUUUUUCCUCUUCUCAGUAAGAUUAUACAUUUGCUCAAAUAAUGCUGCUUUUGUUCAAAAUAUGUUUAGACCAGGCUUUAAGGCCUCUAGCAUUUUCUUUGAAAUGUCCUUGGUUGUAGAAAAUCUUCAUCUUUCAAAGAUGAAGGUUAUUUGGAGCCAGGUCUGGUAAUCAAGCUGCACAAUUCCAUUUGAGGUUAAAACAAAAAAAAUGUGAUAAAUAUGUUAAAAUAUGAUAAGAGAUUAUGAUAAAUGUGGAAAAGCAAUUGACUUUAAAAACAAAUCACUUCUAAAGUGCUAAAAUAAUUUUAGGCAAUGCCAACAUCGUUGGAAUUACAUUGCCUUCCAAGGUGACUGCUUUAAACAUCUAACUACAGAUUCCUUUGUGAAAACUUAGUUUUGUAACUUAUUGCUGACACUUCAUGCCAUUGUGGUCUGACUCAGAAGGAAAUUCCAAGAACUCAGGGACUGUGAUUUCAACAGUUAAGUACCUUUUUACUUAAGUGCUUAGUAUGAUGCCAGACAUUCUGUGGCAACUGAACAAACAGUAGACGUUGAGGAUGGCUGGCUUUGAUAUCAAUGGAGUUGAUAAUGUAAGAACACUUGGCAAGACUUAAGUGACCACAGCCUGGCAGCUUCAGGAUGGCUGAUGUUGGCUUAGAAUAGAAAGUGUAAUAGUGCUACUUACUGGUAAUUUUUUUUUGCUCCUUUUCAUGUCAAGUUAUAAAACGUGCCUCCUACUUGUGUUUAACACAUCUUAUGGAAGCUGUGUCAUGAAGCCUAUAUUUGUUGAAAAACAGCCACUGACCAUGGAAGAGCUUGAGCUUGCCACUGAACAAACAUGCAGUGGCUCAUUUUGAGGCCAUGCUGGUCGUACUGAUGACUGUUAGCCCCAGGGAAGGCCUCAUAGAUUGAUGACCCACAAAGUAAAGUCAAGCCACUAACAGCUAUCCAUUUGGAUUUACACCUUGAAAAGUAUUCGUGUUUUUACUCCAAGGUAUAUUAAUGGACCCCUACAUGUAAAAAUUGUAGCAUAUGCUCUAAAUGUUUUCCUGAAAGAGUUUACAUGUUGGCAGGGGAGAUCAGGAUAGGCAGAAAUAAUUUAAAAAUGCAAAGGAGGAAGUGACAUGAAUUAUUUGAGAGGCAUAGAUAAAGUGAGAUAUUUGGAGGAAGGAGGGUCAAGGAAUGCUCAUGGAGGAAGUAGCAUUGGAACUGAGAUUUGAGAGAGAUCAGAGGAGACAUCAACGAUGUAGAAGCAAAACUCCAGGAGCUGGUACAGGGGAGAAGUGAGGUGUUUGACUGGCUGGAAUGUGGGAGUCUAAAGAAAGGGGCUGAGAACAGGUAGAAGUAGAUGAGACUUAGAGUGUAGGGAGUGGGGAAAGGGAAUAGAUGGAUGAUAGGUUAUGAACUUUGUUUUCUUCAAAACAAUCUGGCAACACUGUUUCAGGGAGAGACCUAUUUUCAGCUAAUGUUCAACCAUCCACUAAUGUGCAAACAUCAGCUUGAGAUGCUGUCAACCAUUGUUAGAUGUGAACCAAACUUGAGUUGUAAAUGCAUUUUUAAUUCUGUGGUUGUAGCCUUCCUGAUUGAUCUAGCAAAUUAAACUUUUCACACAUGAAUGGUGUCAGUGUAUGUGUGUUAGCUUUGUACUGUCCACUAGCCAGACCAAAAAGAAAAAUUAACUGUUGGAUGAAGUGCUCUUGAACAUGCAGGUUCAAGCAUUAACUGCCUAUUUUUUUCUAUGAAUGAUGAAUCUGGGAAAAUACUUCAGGAAGAGGUAGAACUCUGUCAGUGUGCCUGUUUAUAGCCCUUUAAGUAAGAAGAGACCAGUGGAAUGAUUUGUUCUGAUUUUCUUAAACAUUUGUGUGUGUCAGAGAGCAGGUUGGUGCAAGCUUCUUUUCAGUUCCCCAGGCUAUAAUAAACCCAACAUCCAGCCAUGCAUCUGGCAUUGGAAUGCUGGCCAGGAUGUCAGACAGCUUGACCACAUUACUUUCUAUUAUCCUGCUUAUUCUGUUAUCAAACAAAACAAAACCCAGCCCCCUAAACCCAAAACUUGUGAUUUCUGCUCAGUUACCACCAAACCCGAAGCUGGUGAAGUCAUCAGCCAAAAGAGGAUUGUGGGCAUCUUUACAAUGCCGAGUCACCCCCAGAGAUGCGUGCUUUGACUGAAUUAACGUUGCAGUGUUUUGAGUGUAGCUUUUAACAAUAUUGAGCUCUCAUAACCGAGCGUGGGAGUAAUAACAGAACAAGCAAAUUAUAGGGAACUAGAGAAGGGAUUCCACUACCAAAGAAGCAAACCAAAGGAAUAGUUUUUGUGUGAGAUGUGAAUUUGGUUCCCUAUACAUUCCAGUGUCCCUUCCAAAAAUAAAAAUAUGUCUUUUUUUCAUAUGGAACCAAAGCCUGAAAUUGUGGUCUGCACGCACAAUCAAUUCAGUACAGCAAGAACGCUGCAUCUUGUGGUGUUGUUUAGGUUUCUUUGAUAGUUUUCCUCAGAGUACUGAGGCUAAGUAUAAUUUUAAUUCAGUGCUCUUGCCUGUAGAUGACAAAGGACAGUGGAGCAUGGGAAUAAAAUGUAUCAAUGAAUGCUCAGGGUUACUUUUUCAACUAAAUAUACCUACUGUAAGCCAGACUCUGCGCUAGAUUCUGCAGGGUAUACAAAGUUUAGGAAAACAUGGCCUUUUUCUCAAGGAGGUUAUAUCUAGUAGGGGACAUAAGGUAAAUGUCCAACUGACCAAAUUACAAGGAAGGAUAUGUUAGAGGCCAUAAGUGAGUUUACAAGCAAUAGCCAUGAUGGCUUGAAGCAGAAAAAUGUCCAGGAAAAGGUAAAUGAAGGUUAUAGGUGUGAAUCUCUAAGAAUCUGGGUGACUGGAAAGUGGGCCACCUCAUUCAUGGGAAUAUGGAAGUCAGGAGAAAGAGUAGGCUUGCCUGUGAAUGUGUUGAGUUUGAGCGGUGGCUGGAAGCCCAUCAAGAGAGAAUCUGAGAGUAGGAGUGUGGGUGGACAUGCAGAGAUUGAAGUAAAAGUUGUGGAGGUGAUCAGAUCCUUAGGAAAAGCUACAUUAAGAGAAUAAAGAAGAGCACUGGGAGCUUUUAGGGAAAAUCUGAUUUUAGGAGACAGUAGGAAGAAGAGGAAGUGGUAAGAUACUGAAGGAAUGAGCCAGGCAGUAGAUGGACCUGGGGAAUGCAGGGUGAUAAAAUGCAAGAGAGGAUUUCAGGGAGAAGUUGAGCAACUCUGAGGAUGGUAAGCGGGGAUUCAAGGAAGAUGCAGACAAAGAAGAACUGGGAUUUAGUGAUUAGAUGGUGAUUGAUGCCCUUUAAGAGAGUGGUUUCAGUAGAAUGAUGGGACCAGACACCACAUUAAUCAUUAAAAAUUUGCUGAAGUAUACAAAACAAAUUACGCAAAGAUCACAAAUUUUCCUGUUAGGGCAACUUCUCGGUCCUUUAAUGUCAGGGAAAUAGUGCAAGAGCUAGAGGAAAUUAUUUCACAAUGGAUUAAGCG